This 76-nucleotide transfer RNA is filed under the name Aquabacterium sp. Its description in RNAcentral is "tRNA-His". It matches the Rfam family "tRNA". From Rfam's summary of the family: Transfer RNA (tRNA) molecules are approximately 80 nucleotides in length. Their secondary structure includes four short double-helical elements and three loops (D, anti-codon, and T loops). Further hydrogen bonds mediate the characteristic L-shaped molecular structure. tRNAs have two regions of fundamental functional importance: the anti-codon, which is responsible for specific mRNA codon recognition, and the 3' end, to which the tRNAs corresponding amino acid is attached (by aminoacyl-tRNA synthetases). tRNAs cope with the degeneracy of the genetic code in two manners: having more than one tRNA (with a specific anti-codon) for a particular amino acid; and 'wobble' base-pairing, i.e. permitting non-standard base-pairing at the 3rd anti-codon position. RNAcentral also lists the same sequence under 1 other name. Lineage: Bacteria; Pseudomonadati; Pseudomonadota; Betaproteobacteria; Burkholderiales; Sphaerotilaceae. The record is from RNAcentral.
GUGGCUAUAGCUCAGUUGGUAGAGUCCCAGAUUGUGAUUCUGGUUGUCGUGGGUUCGAGCCCCAUUAGCCACCCCA